Molecule: ribosomal RNA, 253 nt
Filed under: uncultured bacterium
Lineage: Bacteria
Description: partial 16S ribosomal RNA
Rfam family: Bacterial small subunit ribosomal RNA
Source: RNAcentral
UACGUAGGGGGCAAGCGUUGUCCGGAUUUAUUGGGCGUAAAGAGCGUGUAGGCGGCUUUACAGGUCCGUUGUGAAAACUCGAGGCUCAACCUCGAGACGCCGGUGGAAACCGUAAAGCUAGAGUCCGGAAGAGGAGAGUGGAAUUCCUGGUGUAGCGGUGAAAUGCGCAGAUAUCGUAAGGAAGGCCGGUGGCGAAAGCGAGCCUCUGGACAGUUACUGACGCUGAUGCACGAAGGCCAGGGGAGCAAACGGG